This 83-nucleotide transfer RNA is filed under the name Perca flavescens (yellow perch). It matches the Rfam family "tRNA". Rfam says of the family: Transfer RNA (tRNA) molecules are approximately 80 nucleotides in length. Their secondary structure includes four short double-helical elements and three loops (D, anti-codon, and T loops). Lineage: Eukaryota; Metazoa; Chordata; Actinopteri; Perciformes; Percidae. The record is from Rfam by way of RNAcentral.
ACCAGGAUGACCAAGUGGUUAAGGUGUUGGACUUAAGAUGCAGUUGGCUACAGCCCUUGUGGGUUCAAACCCCACUCCUGUUA